Alligator sinensis (Chinese alligator) is the source of this 405-nucleotide non-coding RNA. NCBI's taxonomy places the organism in Eukaryota, Metazoa, Chordata, Crocodylia, Alligatoridae. The record is from the annotation of a RefSeq genome assembly.
AUGGGUCUGGGCUCCAGCGGGGACAUUCUCGUGACUCAGACUCCAGAGUCCCUGGCCGUGUCCCCAGGGGACACAGUCACCAUCAAGUACAAAACCAUUUCCAACAUAUUUAGCCGCAUGGCCUUGUACCAGCAGAAACCAGGGCAGGCCCCUAAGCUCCUUCUGUAUGGCACAAGCAGCCGCCCCUCCGGGAUCUUCGACCGGUUCAGCGGCAGUGAGUCUGGCACCGACUUCGCUUUCACCAUCAGCCGGGUGGAGGCUGGUGAUGCUGGAGACUAUUGCUGUCAGCAUGGUUAUGGCACCCCUCUCACAGUGCUACAGCUCAUUACAAAAACCUCCCUGCUCUCUUCGGGUUCUGCUGCUCCCAACUCCAGCUGCUUCCUGCUCAGAUUCAGAAGCCAGUGA